GCGAGUGAGAGGGAAGAGCCCAAGAUUGAAAGCUGGCGUCUUCGGCGUCCGCAUUGUAAUCUCAAGAAGUGUUUUCCGCUUCGGACCAAGCCUAAGUCCCUUGGAAAAGGGCAUCAUAGAGGGUGAUAAUCCCGUACAUGGCUUGGAGCGCCCGAAGCUUUGUGAUACGCUUUCUAAGAGUCGAGUUGUUUGGGAAUGCAGCUCAAAAUGGGUGGUAAAUGCCAUCUAAGGCUAAAUAUUGGGGAGAGACCGAUAGCGAACAAGUACAGUGAUGGAAAGAUGAAAAGAACUUUGAAAAGAGAGUUAAACAGUACGUGAAAUUGCCAAAAGGGAAGGGUAGGAGGUCAGAGAUGCGGCCUGGGAUUCAGCCUUGCUUUUGCUUGGUGUUUUUCCCAGAUUGCAGGCCAACGUCGGUUUUGGGCACUGGAGAAGGGUAGGAGGAACGUGGCACCUCUCGGGGUGUGUUAUAGCCUCCUACUGGAUACAGCGACCGAGACCGAGGACAGCAGCGUACUCGCAAGAGCGGGCCUUCGGGCACCUUUACGCUUAGGGCGUUGGCAUAAUGGCCCUCUACCACCC
This 579-nucleotide ribosomal RNA is filed under the name Moesziomyces aphidis. Its description in RNAcentral is "eukaryotic LSU rRNA". It matches the Rfam family "Eukaryotic large subunit ribosomal RNA", at positions 89 to 650 of the family's 3401-position model. Lineage: Eukaryota; Fungi; Basidiomycota; Ustilaginomycetes; Ustilaginales; Ustilaginaceae. The record is from RNAcentral.